CAGUGCAAGACCGUGAUAACUCCGAAUUCCAUGUUGUGCUUCGUUGGAGUAGGGUGCACAUGCGCAGAAGUCAGCGUGAGAAAAGCCUGUACAGGCACACAGACAACUGCAUCCAAUGCAGCCCUGCGUGUGGACAAGAAAGGCUUCAUUGCUGGACCAUGCCAUCAGCUUUCACUGCUGCAGCACCCGUUCAAACUCCUAGCUGACCUACAACGUGGAGCCAAUAAAACGAGGCCUGGUUAAUGUGACGAGCUUGGGUGAGCGGAGCAGAGCCACAAGAGUGACGUCGCGCCUUGCUUCUCACAAGAUUGGUCAGGCCACGGCUGCUCUGCAGUUCGACUUGCCUGUGGCUCACAAAUCUGUUCAGUGCAUCCCCAGAGUCAAGAGCAAGUCAACACAGUUCUCUGCUACUGGUACGAGGACGUCGAGAACUCUGCAGACAAGAAGAGCUGUGAAUCGGCCAAGUUCUGGCUCAGCUCUCAAGACAAUUUCAGCCCGUCCGUUGCUCAGUGCGUGCUGCAAGUAACACCAGAUGUCACUAGGAGUCCUUUGAAAAGUAAAGUUGUGAACAGACUUCUUUUGUUUUGUUGUGUCAUCAUACUUCUAUUCCAAGAUUGAAUGAGUGAACCUGUGAUUACUGAAUACUUCAAGCCAUGUUAAAAAGAAAAGAAAGCAUGGCGAUUCAGAGAGCUCAGCUUCGUUGAGUGAGAGUGAUUCAGAACUGGGGCUUCAGACGACAGUGAUGAGUCAUGGAUAGAAUAUGUCAGUUCUGUUGACCCACCUUUGUGCGGUGAAACCCACCUUUGUUACGGUUUUUUCUAAUAAACUUUGCCUCUGUGA
Molecule: unclassified non-coding RNA, 840 nt
Filed under: Dermacentor andersoni
Lineage: Eukaryota; Metazoa; Arthropoda; Arachnida; Ixodida; Ixodidae
Description: uncharacterized LOC126526292
Source: RNAcentral